Long non-coding RNA from Lutra lutra (Eurasian river otter), 2093 nucleotides. RefSeq lists it as uncharacterized. The record is from RefSeq and is a predicted model, not a curated record. The transcript has 2 exons. NCBI's taxonomy places the organism in Eukaryota, Metazoa, Chordata, Mammalia, Carnivora, Mustelidae.
UGCUUCCUCCUCUCUCUCUGCCUGCCUCUCUGCCUACUUGUGAUUUCUGUCUGUCAAAUAAAUAAAUAAAAUCUUUUAAAAAAUGCAGCAUACUCAAUAUGCAUGUAAAUUGUUAUGACAUACGACUUUUAAUAUCUUCUUUUUCUAUAUUUCUCAUUUUAAUAACUGCUUAAUAUUACACUAAUAGAUAUGUGGUAGCCUUGUUGGGAGACUUUUUCUCCUUCUCUAUAACAUACAACAAAAUCUCAUUUUUCUUUUUUUUGCUUGCUUGUUUUUGAGAAACUGUCAGAAUUAGAAUUUUUAGAUAAAAGAAUCUGAUGAUUUUAUGGUUAUUACUACAUAUUACCAGACAACUUUCCAGAAACCAUACCCAUUUAUACUGCCACUAUAUACUUCUCCCUAUAACUUUGCAAGCAUUGUGAUUUAUAAUUUUUAUAAAUUUAAUAUGUAUAAAGUAAUGACUUAUAAUUGUUUUAAUUGGCAUUUUAAGUGCUGUUUUUACUGAACAAAUCACUAUUUGUCUUUUCUGUGAAUUUUCUGCCCAUAUACUUUGCCAUAUGACUACCACACAGGCUUUUCAACCAUAUCCCCCACAACAGUUUAAAAUUAUGAUCAUAUAGGGGUGCCUGGGUGGCUCAGUCUAUUAGGCGUCUGACUUUUGACCUCAGCUCAGGUCUUGAUCUCAGGGUUGUGGGUUCGAGCCCUAUGCUGGGCAUAGAAGUGACUUAAAGAAAAUAGAACUUAAAAAAAAUAAAAUUAUGAUCAUAUAGUAUUUUCUUUGAACAAAUACAGUGAUUUUAUUGGAAGAAAGGCAGAUAAUUGUGACAUUCUAGAUAGCUAGAAUGUUUUUUUCAUAGAGGUAAUGCAGAUCCCAACUGUGAGCUCACAGAGAAUGUCAACAAACAGGCACGCCAAGAAAUGAGGGCCUGGCCUGGAGGUGGGGGUGGGGGUGCGGUGUGGGUUCCAAGAUAAAGGUGUUCAGCUCACCUUGUGGUCUUUGCCCACAAACUUGAAGACUGGGACCUGGAAGUGCUUUGCUAGGUGGUCCCGGGCCGUGUACUGCUUCACGGAGUCAUCUGAAACACAACUAACAGCAGGACAGGAGAACACGUAAGACUUGAUGGCUUCAGCAGAGAUGGAAAAACAAUCUGGUCCAAUGUGUUUAGUCCAAAGAAAUGCUGACUGGGUGGAGGAGGCUGGGCUGCACUCAAGUUUUUUGAGAAUGAAGGAAAAAUGAAAUUUCUUCCCUGCAAAGGCGUCUUCAGCCCUGCUCAUGAACACCAUCUGUCCCAUCUCUCAUUCUCUGUACCCACGAACUGGGCACGAGGACCUCUCGAUACGUCAAUAUAUUGAAGCAGGAGCAACAGCAACCACAUUUCUUUCAAAGAUACCUUUUGAAAUGAAGAUAUCUCUGCAAGGCUGUAUUUUCAUUUGUAAUACAUCACAGGAAUUCUGCAUUCACAUACUUGAUGAUUGGUUUGAGAUUUCAGAAAUAUUUAUUGGGCACCUAAUACACACUAGCCCCCAACGAGGGUUCAAAGGUGAGCAAGCCUCAAUGUGUGCAACACUGAGCUGCAUAAAGAUUUAAGAUUCAGAUUUAAGUUUCAGAGAGAGUAACUGGUUCUACUGGGAAGGUUCAGUCUCCUCCCAAUUGCUGAACUUCAUUUUUCCCCCACAUUUAAUGCAGAGUUGUAGUUUGAUAGGGUCUUGGGGUUUCCAUCUCAGGUCUACUGCUUAAACUGAAAGUCCUAGGCUCACCUCAAGGUUAGCUGGGGAAAAGAAGUCUUACUUGUUCUCAAUUUUGAGACCAAGGUUUAGUAUUUGAUGAACAUUUUCUCCUGAGAGGACAGGGAUUACACUUGUAUCGUCUUUCCCACUGUGAAUUUUAAAAGAACUUUAAAUUCUGGGUGUAUUUUCCUUUUUCUGGAUACCUAUUAGUUCUUGUCUACCAGUCCGGGAAAAAAAAAAAAAAAUGUGGGGACCAGAAAGAAAAGUCUAUGAAACUGGAUCCUUGCUUCGCGUGCUUACACACCACUUUCUAGUUCAUUGCUAAGUACUGUUUCAGUGCAGUUCAAAAAACCCAAUAAAACUGU